Molecule: ribosomal RNA, 518 nt
Filed under: uncultured bacterium
Lineage: Bacteria
Description: bacterial SSU rRNA
Rfam family: Bacterial small subunit ribosomal RNA
Source: RNAcentral
AGAGUUUGAUUAUGGCUCAGGAUGAACGCUAGCUACAGGCUUAACACAUGCAGGUCGAGGGGCAGCAUUGGAGUAGCAAUACUCAGAUGGCGACCGGCGCACGGGUGAGUAACACGUAUCCAACCUGCCGCUUACUCGGGGAUAGCCUUUCGAAAGAAAGAUUAAUACCCGAUGGUAUAAAGAGUUCGCAUGUUCUCUUUAUUAAAGAAUUUCGGUAAGCGAUGGGGAUGCGUUCCAUUAGAUAGUUGGCGGGGUAACGGCCCACCAAGUCUACGAUGGAUAGGGGUUCUGAGAGGAAGGUCCCCCACAUUGGAACUGAGACACGGUCCAAACUCCUACGGGAGGCAGCAGUGAGGAAUAUUGGUCAAUGGACGAGAGUCUGAACCAGCCAAAGUAGCGUGAAGGAUGACUGCCCUAUGGGUUGUAAACUUCUUUUAUAAGGGAAUAAAGUGAGGGACGUGUCCCUUUUUGUAUGUACCUUAUGAAUAAGGAUCGGCUAACUCCGUGCCAGCCGCCGC